UACGAAGGGGGCUAGCGUUGCUCGGAAUUACUGGGCGUAAAGGGCGCGUAGGCGGACAGUUUAGUCAGAUGUGAAAGCCCCGGGCUCAACCUGGGAAUUGCAUUUGAAACUACGAGGCUAGAGUGUGUCAGAGGGGGGUAGAAUUCCACGUGUAGCAGUGAAAUGCGUAGAGAUGUGGAGGAAUACCGAUGGCGAAGGCGGCUCUCUGGACCAGCACUGACACUGAGGCACGAAAGCGUGGGGAGCAAACAGG
This 253-nucleotide ribosomal RNA is filed under the name uncultured bacterium. RNAcentral's name for it is "partial 16S ribosomal RNA". It matches the Rfam family "Bacterial small subunit ribosomal RNA", at positions 524 to 776 of the family's 1533-position model. The record is from RNAcentral.